This 443-nucleotide ribosomal RNA is filed under the name Veillonella parvula. Its description in RNAcentral is "bacterial SSU rRNA". It matches the Rfam family "Bacterial small subunit ribosomal RNA", at positions 28 to 447 of the family's 1533-position model. Lineage: Bacteria; Bacillati; Bacillota; Negativicutes; Veillonellales; Veillonellaceae. The record is from RNAcentral.
GACGAACGCUGGCGGCGUGCUUAACACAUGCAAGUCGAACGAAGAGCGAUGGAAGCUUGCUUCUAUCAAUCUUAGUGGCGAACGGGUGAGUAACGCGUAAUCAACCUGCCCUUCAGAGGGGGACAACAGUUGGAAACGACUGCUAAUACCGCAUACGAUCUAAUCUCGGCAUCGAGGAUAGAUGAAAGGUGGCCUCUACAUGUAAGCUAUCACUGAAGGAGGGGAUUGCGUCUGAUUAGCUAGUUGGAGGGGUAACGGCCCACCAAGGCGAUGAUCAGUAGCCGGUCUGAGAGGAUGAACGGCCACAUUGGGACUGAGACACGGCCCAGACUCCUACGGGAGGCAGCAGUGGGGAAUCUUCCGCAAUGGACGAAAGUCUGACGGAGCAACGCCGCGUGAGUGAUGACGGCCUUCGGGUUGUAAAGCUCUUCUUCAUCGGGACG